UAAACUUACGCACUUAACUUUAUAAUCACGUAAAACUACUCAAAUUUCAAGUACAUUAUCCGCUGUGUAAUAACUGUACCUUCUUUAACCAAAUAUAUAAAAAGCCUGUAAAUAAAUUCUAACACAUAGAAUACUCACGACUGUUGUAAAUAACUUCUUCGCUAGUGAAUAAAAUAAUCACAAAAUUUAAUAGCGUAAAACGAAAAUACAGAGCUCAUACGAAAGACUUAUAUAACGCUAAACGUCAAACGUUGCGAAGCAGGAAAUUGGGUCUUUCUGAAAUUCUCACGGAAGAAAACCAAAUUACAUGGUGCUAAUUGCUACCGCCGACAUUCCACCCCACCCAGACUCAAAAUAUACAUUAAUGUACACAAACACACCUAACUGAGGCUAACUCACAAUUGACUGACUUGACGACGCAAAGACGACGAAUACAAGAAUUUUAAACCAGGAAGUUGAAUAACCUCAACCGUUUAUUGAUAAAGCAAAAGCCUAAACGUUUUGGUGAGUUAAAAAUCAUUUCAUUUUUAGAUGUGAGGUGUUAAGUUGUAUAUUACUGAAGGAAAUUUCAUUUUAUACGCUUUAAAUUUGUUGUGUAAUUUUCACGGAACUGUGUAAUUGGCUGCUUAAGGAUCUUUAACGUUGAACAUGAGGCAACAGUUUUAAUAAGAAUAUAGUUUAAUAUUAUUGUUUAUUUAAAAA
Xenia sp. Carnegie-2017 is the source of this 702-nucleotide long non-coding RNA. RefSeq lists it as uncharacterized. The record is from RefSeq and is a predicted model, not a curated record. NCBI's taxonomy places the organism in Eukaryota, Metazoa, Cnidaria, Anthozoa, Malacalcyonacea, Xeniidae. The transcript is spliced from 2 exons.